Non-coding RNA from Physcomitrium patens, 1566 nucleotides. The record is from RefSeq and is a predicted model, not a curated record. NCBI's taxonomy places the organism in Eukaryota, Viridiplantae, Streptophyta, Bryopsida, Funariales, Funariaceae.
UGUUCUUCGUUUCUCCGCUGUCAGUAAAUCGUGAGGAUGUGGACUCAAAGACACUGAAACCAAUGACUGUCGAAGCUUCUUACGAGAAUUUCAACCUCGUCUUCAAUGGUUGGCGAUUUCGCUUGGGUGCAACACAGGGGUGAGCCUCACGCGGUGAUAAAUAUGUUUCUUUAUUGGAGUACACGAGACUCAGUUGCCAUGGUUGGUUUAGUGGUAACCUGACGGCUGUUCUAGUAUCAGGUUUGGUAUGGACGAAAACCGCACCGGGCAGUCUGUAACCUGACUCAGCAUGCUACUGCUUUAGUUUUGAGGGUAUGAAGAUCAAGGUCCUUCAACUUGUACGGUUACACAAUCAGCAAUGAUAAAGCAAAGAAGAAUCCGCGACUAGCCGGUGAACAGUGAUACGUAUGAUCGCGGUAAGUUGCUUCUAUUUCUGUUCCUUGGCUCAACGUCCACAUUCUCAGAAUGUCCGCAGAGGGCUGCACGAUAGCCACGUCGACGACAAUGGUCUUGACGAGAAAAAGUGGAUAAUAGCGUGCAAUGUAUCCGAUCGAAAAAAGGAUAAACGGUCAUCAAUGUAGCGAAAGUAGUAUUUUCUAAGGGAUUGAGGGCCAGCAACACAGGAAGUAACGGCCCGGGAAUCGAUUGUAGUAAGACUGUAGCAUUCAGAGCAGUGGAGGAUAAUCGUCUUCAGCUGUUACAUGAAAGCGGCUGUACAUUAUCCCAAAGCUACGAUACUACGUGUGGUGCAACGCACAGAUCCAGUACUCAUUUUUAAGAGGAGCAAGGGACUGAUAGGAAUCAACCUGUGGCAGAUCUUUCAGCAAGUGGGCAAUCGCCCCACAAAAAUCCACUUUAUCCUCAACUAGUAUUGCGGAUUAUCAAUGCGGAAAAAUCACAACGUCGGGACGAACGACGGAAGCAACUUGGCCAAGCCGACUAUGCAAUUGUAGGCGGAACUAGGUCAUCUGUGUCAUAUUCGGACGAUAUUUGUGUGCAUGGCAGCCUCCGUGCGCAUGUCGGCAAAUGCCAUGCCGAGAUUUCAGCGGCCCAAUGGGCUUGCACCACGUGAUUACACCUACUGCUUUAUUAGGCGAGUUUUUUAAAAAGACAACGUUGCAUACGGUGCACUGUCUCCACUGCCAGUGGUGACAGUGAAGCUCUAUCUUCUGCCUGUAGCAACUGGAUUUUAAGCCAAUCAGAAUGUCGGUGGUCGAUCCGAAUGCUUGCGAGCAUUGAACUCUCGCUCUUUUCAAUCAUUAGAAAUGUCACUAAGAACUAUCGCUUGCAGCAAUAUAGCAGAUCAGUAAACGCGUGGAUGAGAACUAACUGCGAUUUCGUAAGUGAGUUAUGCUCUGCAGCAUUACCCAACUUUCUUGCUUAGUUCUAUUUAAGUGAGGACUACGAUGACUAGGAUGCUGAAAGAAAGGUUGAACUUCAACCUCUUCAAUCCCCCCCUGUGUGCUUUGAAGCUGUAGAAGACGGUGAGAUAAGCCGUUCUGCUUAGGUUUCACAGCAUGUUGUGAUUGGCUUUGUGUAAUACAAGAUUAAGAUGCGUUCAAAUCC